This 253-nucleotide ribosomal RNA is filed under the name uncultured bacterium. RNAcentral describes it as "partial 16S ribosomal RNA". It matches the Rfam family "Bacterial small subunit ribosomal RNA", at positions 524 to 776 of the family's 1533-position model. The record is from RNAcentral.
UACAGAGGGUGCAAGCGUUGCUCGGAAUUAUUGGGCGUAAAGGGCAGGUAGGUGGUCCUAUUUGUCCGGGGUGAAAUCCCAGGGCUUAACCCUGGAAGUGCCUCGGAAACGGUAGGACUAGAGUCUGAGAGAGGUUUGUGGAAUUCCCAGUGUAGCGGUGAAAUGCGUAGAGAUUGGGAGGAACACCAGCGGCGAAGGCGGCAAACUGGAUCAGUACUGACACUAAACUGCGAAAGCGUGGGGAGCAAACAGG